UACGGAGGGUGCAAGCGUUGCUCGGAAUUAUUGGGCGUAAAGGGUAGGUAGGUGGUCUCAUUUGUCUGGGGUGAAAGCCUUGGGCUUAACUCAAGAAGUGCCCCAGAAACGGUGAGACUGGAGUCCUGGAGAGGGUCGUGGAAUUCCCGGUGUAGCGGUGAAAUGCGUAGAGAUCGGGAGGACACCAGAGGCGAAAGCGGCGACCUGGACAGGCACUGACACUCAACUACGAAAGCGUGGGGAGCAAACAGG
Molecule: ribosomal RNA, 252 nt
Filed under: uncultured bacterium
Lineage: Bacteria
Description: partial 16S ribosomal RNA
Rfam family: Bacterial small subunit ribosomal RNA
Source: RNAcentral